RNAcentral lists this long non-coding RNA (1548 nucleotides) under Anser cygnoides (Swan goose). RNAcentral describes it as "lncRNA (ENSACDG00005016047.1)". Lineage: Eukaryota; Metazoa; Chordata; Aves; Anseriformes; Anatidae. The record is from RNAcentral.
UGUGUCUUGUGCUGGGAAGCUCCCCACUGGACACUGGUGCAGUCUCAUAAUUUCUCCACUCAGGACUCGUCAGAGCCACUUCCCCCGACCUGCUGGCUGCACUCCCGGUAACACAACUCCACAUGCAAUUCCAGCUGGGCUCUGGGUUCCCUAACCCGAUCCCUACAGGCUUCAGCGAUGUUCCUGUGUUCCUGCUGGGCAGCCUGCCCCUGUUCCCACCUUCUUUGCAUUCCCUUUCUACUCUGGAGCUCACUCUGGUUCUGUCUGGACCAGAAGCCCUUCCUUCCACGCAGGUGAUGUAGUGUGGGGAGUGCCAGGAGUAGUUCUAAUUCGUUACAGGGCAGGUGAGAAAUAAAGUCCGUUUUCAUUUACAGAAGAAUUAUAUUUACAGCUACAGCAAUACUGAGUUUUCUGAGGAGUGCCUAGAGUCAGAAAGCCCCGGCAUCCCUCAGAGACGAAGCUGUGCCAAUCUGCACUGCGGCCGCAGAGAUUCCCAUCUCUUCCAUGCGAUGUCUCGUCUUGACCAAUCUUGACAGCAGAACUUCUGUACAAAAGAAGAAGAAGAGAAAGUCCAACCGAACCAGGAUCACAAAGAGGUUUGGCGGUGUUGCAUUUUUUAUAAGGAUGCUGCAGAAACGCAGGCUCUAUUUGAGGAGUCUGGGAAGGUUUUCUCAUGGGGAGCUGGGAGGCGUAAGAGCAAAAGCACCUCCAGUGUAGAAACAACCCGGUUCCAGCUCUCGCAGCCCAACGGUGCGGGCAGGCAAUCUCACGUCACAGUGAGAGGCACGCCGCAAGAGCACAGCUUUGAUGGAAUAUCAAAAUUUUCAGCACAAAGAUUCCGAGCAAAUACAAUGGGAUGGGCUAGUUGUGAGAAGCCACAACCUUCUCUCAUGGUAUCAGAUUUUGGAAAGAGUCACAAUUUCACUGCAAGAUGCCGAGGCCUGAACUCACCUAAAGACAUGGCACAAGAACCUUCCAGAUGCAGUUUGGGUGACUUGCAGCUGCCUUCAUCAGAAACAGUGCCAGUCACAGGAGCCCAAUGGGUGAUACUGAGAGGUAAGUCAGCGUCCCCACAGAUAAUUAAAGAGAGGUUCCUUUCUUCUGCAUCUAUCACACAUAAAGCCAAAGGUAACGUGCUCCUUUAUUGCACGUUAGCUGAGUUGAGGCAUCCAUCUCACCUGACACCGGUCACUAAGGGGAGGGCCCAGGGUCUUCAAAGGGAAAGAAACAACACCAGAAACAGCCUGCCAAAAACACGCAUUUUUCUGAGUGCCAGCAAGUCAGAUGCCGGCAGGAACUGGGGAGGGAUGAUGGAGCAGGACCACACAAUCACACAUUGGCUGGGCUGAGAGGGGCCUCUGGAGAUCAUCCAGUCCAAGCCUUGGCUUAAGCAAGGUCACCUAUAGCAGGUUGCUCAGGGCUAUGUCCUGUUGGGUUUUGGAUAUCUCCAAGGAUGGAGACUCCACAACCUCUCUGGGCAACCUGCUCCAGUGCUUGGCCAUCAUCCCCAUAAAUAAAGCUUUAAAUUACAAAAAGAUUUCUUUAAGU